AAAUUGAAGAGUUUGAUCAUGGCUCAGAUUGAACGCUGGCGGCAGGCCUAACACAUGCAAGUCGAGCGGCAGCGGGAAGUAGUUUACUACUUUGCCGGCGAGCGGCGGACGGGUGAGUAAUGUCUGGGAAACUGCCUGAUGGAGGGGGAUAACUACUGGAAACGGUAGCUAAUACCGCAUAACGUCUUCGGACCAAAGUGGGGGACCUUCGGGCCUCACGCCAUCGGAUGUGCCCAGAUGGGAUUAGCUAGUAGGUGGGGUAAUGGCUCACCUAGGCGACGAUCCCUAGCUGGUCUGAGAGGAUGACCAGCCACACUGGAACUGAG
This 326-nucleotide ribosomal RNA is filed under the name Yersinia enterocolitica subsp. palearctica YE-P4. Its description in RNAcentral is "bacterial SSU rRNA". It matches the Rfam family "Bacterial small subunit ribosomal RNA", at positions 1 to 323 of the family's 1533-position model. Lineage: Bacteria; Pseudomonadati; Pseudomonadota; Gammaproteobacteria; Enterobacterales; Yersiniaceae. The record is from RNAcentral.